This 497-nucleotide ribosomal RNA is filed under the name uncultured bacterium. RNAcentral's name for it is "partial 16S ribosomal RNA". It matches the Rfam family "Bacterial small subunit ribosomal RNA", at positions 28 to 507 of the family's 1533-position model. The record is from RNAcentral.
GAUGAACGCUGGCGGCGUGCCUAAUACAUGCAAGUCGAGCGAACAGACGAGGAGCUUGCUCCUCUGACGUUAGCGGCGGACGGGUGAGUAACACGUGGAUAACCUACCUAUAAGACUGGGAUAACUUCGGGAAACCGGAGCUAAUACCGGAUAAUAUAUUGAACCGCAUGGUUCAAUAGUGAAAGACGGUUUUGCUGUCACUUAUAGAUGGAUCCGCCCCGCAUUAGCUAGUUGGUAAGGUAACGGCUUACCAAGGCGACGAUGCGUAGCCGACCUGAGAGGGUGAUCGGCCACACUGGAACUGAGACACAGUCCAGACUCCUACGGGAGGCAGCAGUAGGGAAUCUUCCGCAAUGGGCGAAAGCCUGACGGAGCAACGCCGCGUGAGUGAUGAAGGUCUUCGGAUCGUAAAACUCUGUUAUUAGGGAAGAACAAAUGUGUAAGUAACUAUGCACGUCUUGACGGUACCUAAUCAGAAAGCCACGGCUAACUACGUG